AUUGAACGCUGGCGGAAUGCUUUACACAUGCAAGUCGAACGGUAGAGGGGGCAACCCCUCGAGAGUGGCGAACGGGUGAGUAAUAUAUCGGAACGUGCCCAGUCGGGGGGGAUAACGUAGCGUAAGUUACGCUAAUACCGCAUACGAUCUAAGGAUGAAAGCGGGGGAUCGCAAGACCUCGCGCGAUUGGAGCGGCCGAUAUAAGAUUAGGUAGUUGGUGGGGUAAAGGCUCACCAAACCACAGAUCUGUAGCUGGUCGUAGAGGACGACCAGCCACACUGGAACUGAGACACGGUCCAGACUCCUACGGGAGGCAGCAGUGGGGAAUUUUGGACAAUGGACGCAAGUCUGAUCCAGCCAUUCCGCGUGCAGGAUGAAGGCCCUCGGGUUGUAAACUGCUUUUGUACGGAACGAAAAGGUCUCUCUUAAUACGGGGGACUCAUGACGGUACCGUAAGAAUAAGCACCGGCUAACUACGUGCCAGCAGCCGCGGUAA
This 496-nucleotide ribosomal RNA is filed under the name uncultured bacterium. Its description in RNAcentral is "partial 16S ribosomal RNA". It matches the Rfam family "Bacterial small subunit ribosomal RNA", at positions 30 to 523 of the family's 1533-position model. The record is from RNAcentral.